AAGGGUAUAGCUCAGUGGUAGAGUGCAUGCCUAGCAUGCACAAGAUCCUGGGUUCAAUCCCCAGUACUCCUC
This 72-nucleotide transfer RNA is filed under the name Camelus bactrianus (Bactrian camel). It matches the Rfam family "tRNA". From Rfam's summary of the family: Transfer RNA (tRNA) molecules are approximately 80 nucleotides in length. Their secondary structure includes four short double-helical elements and three loops (D, anti-codon, and T loops). Further hydrogen bonds mediate the characteristic L-shaped molecular structure. tRNAs have two regions of fundamental functional importance: the anti-codon, which is responsible for specific mRNA codon recognition, and the 3' end, to which the tRNAs corresponding amino acid is attached (by aminoacyl-tRNA synthetases). tRNAs cope with the degeneracy of the genetic code in two manners: having more than one tRNA (with a specific anti-codon) for a particular amino acid; and 'wobble' base-pairing, i.e. permitting non-standard base-pairing at the 3rd anti-codon position. The record is from Rfam by way of RNAcentral. RNAcentral also lists the same sequence under 1 other name. Lineage: Eukaryota; Metazoa; Chordata; Mammalia; Artiodactyla; Camelidae.